GGCAAACCCUAAUUCAUUUUCACCCUCCCCCGCCGCGGCGUCCUCUCGUGUCUUCUCGACUUCUCCCCUCUUCCCACUCCCCAGCGCUCCCCGUCUUCUCGCUGGCUCCGACGGCGCGUGGCGACGCUGGCGGGCGACGGCGAGACGCCGCCGUCCCCAGCCCUUCUUCUCGCCCUCCGGCAGCUCCGGCUCCGGUGCUCCGAAGAUGCAGGUAAGAGCUCCUUCGCUUCGUAACUGUUCUCCUCUCUCGUUUUCUGUCCGUGUUCUUAGUCCCCUCCAAUUUCUUGUUCUAUUCUUCAGAUCCGUUGAUCAGCAGCUGCUCCGAGAUUCUUCUUUAGCUCCGGCGACGGCGAGGUAAGAAAAAGUCAAAAACAUGACCGUAACCCUAACAGUGAACCCUAACUUCUUUGAGCUUUGCUUCUCGUUUUUCGUUUGUUGUUUCUCUGGAUCCCUGACUUUUUUCAUUUCAUCUUUGCUUGUGUAGCAAUUUGAGGCUAGUGACGAUGGCGCGACAGGCCCCCUCUGAAUCGACGGUCGAGGCCAGUGGCACUGACCGUGAGAUGGAGAGGAUGCGGGACUAUAUGCGCAACCAAGCACUGUCCUCUUUGCACCACUAGUGAGGGAGACAGAUGUGAUGCUGCCGGAUCCCAUGUUGCCAGAUCCCACCACUAGUGAGGGAGACUGACAUGACGCCGCCGGAUCUCGCGUAGCCAAAUUGCCGCCAGUGAGACGGACGCACAGUCACCCUUGAUCCAUAGCACCACCCAGAUCUGCUGUCGGGGGCACAACCCCCUGGAUCCGCAGGUGGGGCGCGUGUGUUCUCCUCUGGAUCUAUUGGAGCCUGGCAAAUUCGAUAGAUAAACCGUUCCACGCUUCUACUAGUUCCUGCUAAGCAUUUCUCUCUCUUACCAAGUUACAAGAGAAAAUCUUUAGUUAGCUCCAUGAAUUGGACAUGCCCUAAAGAAAACAUAAAAAUGGUUC
RNAcentral lists this long non-coding RNA (981 nucleotides) under Sorghum bicolor (sorghum). RNAcentral's name for it is "long non-coding RNA (SBIC_LNC007934)". Lineage: Eukaryota; Viridiplantae; Streptophyta; Magnoliopsida; Poales; Poaceae. The record is from RNAcentral.